RNAcentral lists this ribosomal RNA (301 nucleotides) under uncultured bacterium. RNAcentral's name for it is "partial 16S ribosomal RNA". It matches the Rfam family "Bacterial small subunit ribosomal RNA", at positions 509 to 807 of the family's 1533-position model. The record is from RNAcentral.
CAGUAGCCGCGGUAAUACGAAGGGUGCAAGCGUUACUCGGAAUUACUGGGCGUAAAGCGUGCGUAGGUGGUGGUUUAAGUCCGUUGUGAAAGCCCUGGGCUCAACCUGGGAAUUGCAGUGGAUACUGGGUCACUAGAGUGUGGUGGAGGAUAGUGGAAUUUCCGGUGUAGCAGUGAAAUGCGUAGAGAUCGGAAGGAACAUCUGUGGCGAAGGCGACUAUCUGGGCCAACACUGACACUGAGGCACGAAAGCGUGGGGAGCAAACAGGAUUAGAUACCCGCGUAGUCCCUGUCUCUUAUAC